UGGGGAAUAUUGGACAAUGGGCGAAAGCCUGAUCCAGCAACGCCGCGUGAGGGAUGACGGCCUUCGGGUUGUAAACCUCUUUCAGCGGGGACGAAGCGAAAGUGACGGUACCCGCAGAAGAAGCACCGGCCAACUACGUGCCAGCAGCCGCGGUAACACGUAGGGUGCAAGCGUUGUCCGGAAUUAUUGGGCGUAAAGGGCUCGUAGGCGGUCCGUCGCGUCGGGAGUGAAAACUCGGGGCUCAACCCCGAGCCUGCUUUCGAUACGGGCGGACUAGAGGUAGGUAGGGGAGAACGGAAUUCCUGGUGUAGCGGUGGAAUGCGCAGAUAUCAGGAGGAACACCGGUGGCGAAGGCGGUUCUCUGGGCCUUACCUGACGCUGAGGAGCGAAAGCGUGGGGAGCGAACAGG
Molecule: ribosomal RNA, 409 nt
Filed under: uncultured bacterium
Lineage: Bacteria
Description: bacterial SSU rRNA
Rfam family: Bacterial small subunit ribosomal RNA
Source: RNAcentral